UUACAGGCUUAACACAUGCAAGUCGAGGGGCAGCAUGGUCUUAGCUUGCUAAGGCCGAUGGCGACCGGCGCACGGGUGAGUAACACGUAUCCAACCUGCCGUCUACUCUUGGACAGCCUUCUGAAAGGAAGAUUAAUACAAGAUGGCAUCAUGAGUCCGCAUGUUCACAUGAUUAAAGGUAUUCCGGUAGACGAUGGGGAUGCGUUCCAUUAGAUAGUAGGCGGGGUAACGGCCCACCUAGUCUUCGAUGGAUAGGGGUUCUGAGAGGAAGGUCUCCCACAUUGGAACUGAGACACGGUCCAAACUCCUACGGGAGGCAGCAGUGAGGAAUAUUGGUCAAUGGGCGAGAGCCUGAACCAGCCAAGUAGCGUGAAGGAUGACUGCCCUAUGGGUUGUAAACUUCUUUUAUAAAGGAAUAAAGUCGGGUAUGGAUACCCGUUUGCAUGUACUUUAUGAAUAAGGAUCGGCUAACUCCGUGCCAGCAGCCGCGGUAAUACGGAGGAUCCGAGCGUUAUCCGGAUUUAUUGGGUUUAAAGGGAGCGUAGAUGGAUGUUUAAGUCAGUUGUGAAAGUUUGCGGCUCAACCGUAAAAUUGCAGUUGAUACUGGAUAUCUUGAGUGCAGUUGAGGCAGGCGGAAUUCGUGGUGUAGCGGUGAAAUGCUUAGAUAUCACGAAGAACUCCGAUUGCGAAGGCAGCCUGCUAAGCUGCAACUGACAUUGAGGCUCGAAAGUGUGGGUAUCAAACAGGAUUAGAUACCCUGGUAGUCCACACGGUAAACGAUGAAUACUCGCUGUUUGCGAUAUACUGCAAGCGGCCAAGCGAAAGCGUUAAGUAUUCCACCUGGGGAGUACGCCGGCAACGGUGAAACUCAAAGGAAUUGACGGGGGCCCGCACAAGCGGAGGAACAUGUGGUUUAAUUCGAUGAUACGCGAGGAACCUUACCCGGGCUUAAAUUGCAGAUGAAUUACGGUGAAAGCCGUAAGCCGCAAGGCAUCUGUGAAGGUGCUGCAUGGUUGUCGUCAGCUCGUGCCGUGAGGUGUCGGCUUAAGUGCCAUAACGAGCGCAACCCUUGUUGUCAGUUACUAACAGGUUCCGCUGAGGACUCUGACAAGACUGCCAUCGUAAGAUGUGAGGAAGGUGGGGAUGACGUCAAAUCAGCACGGCCCUUACGUCCGGGGCUACACACGUGUUACAAUGGGGGGUACAGAGGGCCGCUACCACGCGAGUGGAUGCCAAUCCCCAAAACCUCUCUCAGUUCGGACUGGAGUCUGCAACCCGACUCCACGAAGCUGGAUUCGCUAGUAAUCGCGCAUCAGCCACGGCGCGGUGAAUACGUUCCCGGGCCUUGUACACACCGCCCGUCAAGCCAUGGGAGCCGGGGGUACCUGAAGUGCGUAACCGCGAGGAGCGCCCUAGGGUAAAACUGGUGACUGGGCU
This 1437-nucleotide ribosomal RNA is filed under the name uncultured organism. RNAcentral describes it as "SSU rRNA". It matches the Rfam family "Bacterial small subunit ribosomal RNA". The record is from RNAcentral.